Manis pentadactyla (Chinese pangolin) is the source of this 4055-nucleotide long non-coding RNA. RefSeq lists it as uncharacterized. The record is from RefSeq and is a predicted model, not a curated record. The transcript has 3 exons. Lineage: Eukaryota; Metazoa; Chordata; Mammalia; Pholidota; Manidae.
GGGGCGUGCGGGCGGGAAGGUGCUUGGGGAGCUGGGGACCAAACACCGCACUUGAUCGUGUUUCUCUUUCAGCGCGGACUGUCGCAGCCGAAGAGCUGUCAUUUCAGCCCCGGGAUUCCGACGAGUGGACCCGGUCCCCCGCGGAGGGGCACCUCUCAUCCCCGAGCUGCUGCGUGUCUCCGACUUGCAGCAAUACUAGUUUUUCUCCGGGAGGCUGUAAUUAACAUCUUAUUUGUUCUGGCCAGAUACAGGCUUUGUCAGGACCGCGGUGCGGCCACCGAGUUGACUGACAAGUAUUUGAUGAAUUAGUUUCAGAUACAUGCUGCAAAAGGUCAUUCGCCUACUAUGUCCCUACUUGUAAACGCAGUUGGAGGUUUGCAAAACAAGUGCUCAAACAGUGCGGUGAUGUGGUGGGAGGAGACCAAAAUAGGUAAUUCAUAUCAAGUGUCGGACUCUUCCUAAGGGCUACUGACCUGGCCUGAAGAUGAUCCUGCUGGGGUAUAUUUAUAGAAGGUGAUUGUGGAUGAUAAAUAUGCCAAGCAAGACACCAUCUCCAGUAACCCCAGGCUCGUCUGACUUCCUCAGGGGGUCAUAAUCAAGAAUCACAAAAAGAACCAUAUAUGCAGAAUCUGGUCUGUGGACCCUGACUACAGCACAAUCCAAAGGCCAAGGAAGGAAGAACCACAGCGAUUCAUGUCUGCACCAUGAUUCGCAUGAAAGCACUGCUGGCACAUUGACCCACCAACAGAAAGAGCAGCAGUUACACCCUGCAGGCAAUCUUGUGUCCUCUCCUCCCUAUUGAGAUUGGCCUGUCUUCAUGUUUUAAUACACUGUAAAAUCACCAUUUCAAAUUAUAAUGAUCAGCUUUCAUUGGCCUCUUUCACAAGUCUGUGUGUGUGUCUAUGUAUAUAUACAAAUGCAUAUAUAUAUAUAUAUAUAUAUAUAUACACAUACACUUAUUUUACAUAUAUACACAUUAUAUAUAUGAUACCUACACCUAUAUAUAUAAAUAAAAGUACAUAUACAUAUAUUUAAAUUGCUACAUGUGUUUGGGAGGACGGUUUCACUAUGUUGCUUAAUAUUUCUCUUAAUAAAAUGAAGUAUUCUCAUGCCAGCAUUGCCCAAUUAAUUGUAUAAGCUAAUUUUCAUCCAUGUUCCUUGCCAACUUUUGAAAGGACUAUCGAGUGUUAACACAUCAAAUACAGACUUGUAUUUUCAACUGGCCCCAUAGUAUAUGAAGUGAAAGUCUUUCAAAUCUCUCUCCUAUUACGUAUACAUUUUAUUAAGAUUACUUUAGAGAAAUGAGGUUUCUAAGUGUAAUUCAUCUCUGUUCUGUUGCCUUUUUUUCUUGCUAAGUUUAGUCCUCUACAUUUGAAAAUGACCCCAUCCUUCAAAAUCGUUGUAUAAAAUUCAGCUAUCACCUGCAUAAUUCUCAGACUUAAAUCAUUAGAAUAUGUUCACUCAGUUUUAGAAAGUGUUUUCUCUCCCCUCACCUUUUCUCUCAUAGUAUUUUUGGUAUUACUCUGUUACCACAUUCUAAACUUUAUAAUUUUCCUACAGUAAGGCUUUAAGAAGCACAAAUAAAUUUGUAGAUUCUUCCUUCUUCAAUAUGCUCUAAUUUUUCAAUAUUUAAUGUCUCCAACAUACACACACAAAAAGGCUUUGGAAACCACUAAUUCCACAAUUAAAGGAAAUUAAUAACUUCAAUAAGAACCUGAACUAGCCUAUUAUUUACUAUAAUCAACUAAUAUUUUAAUAUAUUCUGUUAAUAAAAUGGUCAAAAUAUUACAUGAUUAAAUUGUUAUGAGUACAUACCUUAUGUUUAAAAUUAGCAUAUUUACAGUGAAUUGAAAUAAUUUCUUUUUCUCCUUUUCCUCUGCUCUUCUGCCUCCUCAACUUUCUCUUCAUUCUCCUCCUUCUCCUCUCUUUCUUCCUCCCUAUUAUUAUUAAAUAAUGAAGUCUCUCAGGAACUCAGUUGAUUUUCUUGGAUAUCUGUCAAAAAACAAUUUGACUAUUUUUUACUUGGACAUCCUGAAUAGAAAGUACGUGGAAAAAGUAGUAAAAAGUAAAGGGAUAGAGCAGAGGACAGGGAUAUGUGGUAUGAUGGUUCUCCUGGGUUAGUCUAAACUUGCCCCACUCCAGGCAUAGCCAGAGUUAUUUUUAGUCCAAAGAGUCUAUAAAGUUAGUAUAUUUAGCCAUUAUCUUUAAUUUCUAGAAUUUCAAAUGAACUAGAAAUCAAGAUUCUUCAUUUUUACCCCUGAACUUGACACUAAUUAUAUACCUGACAUGGACAAACAGCUGUAGACUGUCCAGAUUUCAGCCUCCUCGCAGGAAAGGGUCUGACUAAAUACUUUUUAAGGUUCUUCUGGUGUCUUCUAAAUAAAAGAAAGUAUCUCAUAGGAAAUAGAAGCAAUGAGAGAAAAAGGCAACAAAACCCUAGACUAGGAAGAAUCACAAUUAGUCCAUGGUAACUUCUGCUCUGUCAUGAUUUUUAAAACCUCUGUAGUUUUAUCACUUUUGCUUUGUAGUUUUCCUUCCUUACUGUCAGUCAGCCCUUGACAUCCUUAUUCUUUUCUCAUUGUGACCAAUUUUUUUUCUUAGAUUGAGUUCCCACCCUACCAAUAAGUCUAACAAGAACUAAACCUGCAAGGACAACCUUAUCUAUUGAGCUUAAUCAGCACGAGAGUUUGAGGUCCAUUGAUCACUCAUUAUUUCCGAACUCUUGUGUCUCUCCAGCCUUGUUCCUUGACAGUCCGGAUCCACUAAUCCCUACUAUUCCUCUUUUUGCCUGAUUCUCCCACUUUGCCUUCUGGAUCUCACUCUUCUGCACCAACACACCCUCUUGCACAAUGUUCGUUCUGUACCCUCUGUUGGCUGAGACCUGCACUUUUGUGAAGAUGUGGCAUCUCUUGCAACCAUGUCAAGUAGAAGUCACUUAAAUACCUGCUUCUUCCAUCAACAUGAAUGACGGUGUGUGGGGACACAGGAACAGUGACUUUACUCUCCACUGCUGGUUUGAAAUCUUUACUUCUCAUGACAUUUUUUCCUUAGAAGUUAUACUAUCUGCCUUUACCAACCUCACUCCUCCUUGCUAUCAUCUACCAUCUUCCAAGUUUUUUCUUUUUCUUUUUCAGAUUCUUUUCUUUUAUAAAAUUAUAGUUGACAUAAAAUAUUAUGUUAGUAUCAGGUGUACAACAUAGUGGUUUAAUAAAUUAUAUAUUAUGAAAUGCUCACCACGGUAAAUAUAGUCACCGUCUGUCACCAUGCAAAGAUAUUACUUUGGGUAGUUAUGAAUAUUUUAAUAGUAUUAAUUCUUCCAAUCCAUGAACAUGUUAUAUCUUUUCAUUUUUUUGUGUUGUCUUCAAUUUUUUUUUUUUUCCUUCAGUGUCUUAUAGUUUCCAGACUACAGGUCUUCCACCUCCUUGGUUAAAUUUAUUUUUAGGCAUUUUGUUCUUUUUGAUGCAAUUGUAAAUGGAAUUGUUUCUUAAUUUCUCUUUCUGUUAGUUCAUUAUUAAAAUAAAGAAACAACACAUUUCUAUAUGAGAUUUUUGAACACUGCAAUUUAUUGAAUUCAUUGAUUAGUUUUAGUAGUUUUUUGGUCAAGUGUUUUGGGUUUUCUAUAUACAGUAUCAGGUCAUCUGCAAAUAGUAGCAAUUCUACUUUUUCCUCACCAAUUUGGAUGCCUUUUUUUCUUUUUACUGUCUGUUUGCUGUGGAGUACUCCAGUACUAUGUUGAAUAAAAGUGGUGAGAGGUGGCUUCCUUGUCUUGCUCCUGAUCUUAGAGGAAAAGCUUUCAGCUUUUCACCAUUAAAUAUGAAGUUAGCUGUGAGUUUGUCAUAUAUGGCCUUUAUUAUGUUGAUGUAUGUUCCCUCUAUACUCACUUUGUUGAGAGUUUUUAUUAUGAAUGGAUAUUGAAUUUUGUCAAAUGCUUCUCUGCAUCUAUUGAGAGGGUCAUACGGUUUUUAUCCUUCCUUCUGUUAGUGUGGUGUAUCACAGUGAUUGAUUUGCAGAUACUGACACUGUCCUUGCAUCUCUGGAAUAAAUCCUGCUUGGUU